RNAcentral lists this ribosomal RNA (419 nucleotides) under uncultured bacterium. RNAcentral's name for it is "bacterial SSU rRNA". It matches the Rfam family "Bacterial small subunit ribosomal RNA", at positions 954 to 1366 of the family's 1533-position model. The record is from RNAcentral.
GCAAAACGCGAAGAACCUUACCUAGGCUUGACAUGCAUCUCUAAGCACGUGAAAGCGUGUGACCCUUCGGGGAAUUUGCACAGGUGCUGCAUGGCCGUCGUCAGCUCGUGUCGUGAGAUGUUGGGUUAAGUCCCGCAACGAGCGCAACCCUUGUGACUAGUUGCCAGCACGUUAUGGUGGGAACUCUAGUCAGACUGCCCAGAUCAACUGGGAGGAAGGUGGGACGACGGUCAGGUCAGUAUGGCCCUUAGCCUAGGGCUGCACACGUACUACAAUGCCCAGCACAAUGAAAACCGAGAACCGCGAGGUGGAGGAAAUCUAAAAAACUGGGACCCAGUUCGGAUUGGAGCUGCAACUCGCCUCCAUGAAGUUGGAAUCGCUAGUAAUGGCGCAUCAUCUACGGCGCCGUGAACUACGUU